UGGCAGCAAUGCAAAAUAUGUUUGGUACGCUGAUGUGACUUUAUUUUUUUUGCUUGAGUAAUGAUGCUAGUGCUGUCGUAGUACAACAAAAUAGGAUAAUCGAGGGAGGAUGCCACUUCGAGCUCAUCGAUGAACUUUCAUAACUAUGCAGCUUCUUUCAUAGCAUCGGAUGCCGCGAUGUAUUCCACCUCAUAAGUAGAG
Molecule: long non-coding RNA, 201 nt
Filed under: Elaeis guineensis (African oil palm)
Lineage: Eukaryota; Viridiplantae; Streptophyta; Magnoliopsida; Arecales; Arecaceae
Description: long non-coding RNA (EGUI_LNC057583)
Source: RNAcentral